ACACAUGCAAGUCGAACGGAGCUUAAAGAGCUUGCUUUUUAAGCUUAGUGGCGAACGGGUGAGUAACGCGUGAGUAACCUGCCCUGGAGUGGGGGACAACAGUUGGAAACGACUGCUAAUACCGCAUAAGCCCACGGAUUCGCAUGGAUCUGCGGGAAAAGGAUUUAUUCGCUUCAGGAUGGACUCGCGUCCAAUUAGCUAGUUGGUGAGGUAACGGCCCACCAAGGCGACGAUUGGUAGCCGGACUGAGAGGUUGAACGGCCACAUUGGGACUGAGACACGGCCCAGACUCCUACGGGAGGCAGCAGUGGGGGAUAUUGCACAAUGGGGGAAACCCUGAUGCAGCGACGCCGCGUGGAGGAAGAAGGUUUUCGGAUUGUAAACUCCUGUCGUUAGGGACGAUAAUGACGGUACCUAACAAGAAAGCACCGGCUAACUACGUGCCAGCAGCCGCGGUAAAACGUAGGGUGCAAGCGUUGUCCGGGAUUACUGGGUGUAAAGGGAGCGCAGGCGGACCGGCAAGUUGGAAGUGAAAACUAUGGGCUCAACCCAUAAAUUGCUUUCAAAACUGCUGGCCUUGAGUAGUGCAGAGGUAGGUGGAAUUCCCGGUGUAGCGGUGGAAUGCGUAGAUAUCGGGAGGAACACCAGUGGCGAAGGCGACCUACUGGGCACCAACUGACGCUGAGGCUCGAAAGCAUGGGUAGCAAACAGGAUUAGAUACCCUGGUAGUCCAUGCCGUAAACGAUGAUUACUAGGUGUUGGAGGAUUGACCCCUUCAGUGCCGCAGUUAACACAAUAAGUAAUCCACC
This 809-nucleotide ribosomal RNA is filed under the name uncultured bacterium. RNAcentral's name for it is "bacterial SSU rRNA". It matches the Rfam family "Bacterial small subunit ribosomal RNA", at positions 51 to 873 of the family's 1533-position model. The record is from RNAcentral.